Long non-coding RNA from Hyaena hyaena (striped hyena), 266 nucleotides. RefSeq lists it as uncharacterized. The record is from RefSeq and is a predicted model, not a curated record. The transcript has 4 exons. Lineage: Eukaryota; Metazoa; Chordata; Mammalia; Carnivora; Hyaenidae.
CCCUUUCUCUUUUUCUGAAGCAGCACUCUCUGUGACUCAGAUUCAGUGAUGUCCUCCAACACGCCACCGCAGGACCUUUCAACACUCAACACCUAAUGGAGUCAAUGGAAGUGGAACAUUCCAGCAGCAAGUGCUCAUAUGAGGAAGAAGAGAAGGAUAUCAUUCGAAGAAAGGCUCCCUGGAUGUUGUUCAAUUAUUACAAUGGAUCAUCAAAGAAAACAAUAACUGUGUUGAGCCCAUGGGCAUCUGGGUGGCUUAAUCGGUUA